UCUCCGUUGGUGAACCAGCGGAGGGAUCAUUACAGAGUUCAUGCCCUACAGGGUAGAUCUCCCACCCUACGUUUUUAUUACUUUGUGGCGUUGGCGGGCCGUUAGGCUCCGGCCCGACUACCGGCCCCGGCUGGUAAACGCCCGCCAGAGGAACCAAAACCCUGAAUAUUAGUGUCGACUGAGUACUAUAUAAUAGUUAAAACUUUCAACAACGGAUCUCUUGGUUCUG
RNAcentral lists this unclassified non-coding RNA (229 nucleotides) under plant metagenome. Its description in RNAcentral is "partial contains small subunit ribosomal RNA, internal transcribed spacer 1, and 5.8S ribosomal RNA". The record is from RNAcentral.